UUGGACCCGGCGCCCGCGGCCGUAGAAAGGUCAAUUCGAGACGGAACCUUCUUGGAGAUUCUGUUGUGGUUGUGGCAUGAAAACGCGGCGAAGCAAAGGAAAGCAGAGAGCGUCCGGAUCCCCACGUGCCUCGUCGCUCGGCAGCCGUCCCGGCAUCAAGAAUUCAGCAUCCACCGGCUGGCACCCACGAAGCCUCGAGAGCCGCCACCUCUCCCAGGCCCCCUACUCGGUCUCCUCUCGCUAUAUAAUGCAUCCACCGCACCGAUCCGAGCUUCAAUUGCCCUCUCAGGUCGGCUCAUCAACAUCAGGCCAUCCACCAAUUCACUCCGACAGCUAACACGUUUGCCGCCGAUGGGGUCGUCGGUGAAGAAGGCGGCAGUGGCGGAGACGACGGCGCGGGCGGUGGACCAGGCGGUGGCGUACGUGCUCAUGGCCGCCGCGCUCGCCGUCACCUACCUCGUGCACUGA
RNAcentral lists this unclassified non-coding RNA (468 nucleotides) under Zea mays. RNAcentral describes it as "misc RNA Zm00001eb283790". The record is from RNAcentral. Lineage: Eukaryota; Viridiplantae; Streptophyta; Magnoliopsida; Poales; Poaceae.